Molecule: non-coding RNA, 69 nt
Organism: Rattus norvegicus (Norway rat)
Lineage: Eukaryota; Metazoa; Chordata; Mammalia; Rodentia; Muridae
Source: Rfam
GGGGAUUUAGCUCAGUGGUAGAGCGCUUGCCUAGCGACCGCAAGGCCCUGGGUUCGGUCCCCAGCUCCA